UCAGUCUUGCUUGCCUGUCCUGGUUUGGGUUGCUACCUCUGGGGCCUCAUUAAAAAUUGCACCCAGCCCUUUGGGGGAACAGGAGGGAAUGGUUGUUUCCAGCCUCUCACCUCCUUCUUCCCCUUCAGACCUACUACAACAGUCUUUGAAAAUACUGAGUUCCCUUUUGAUGUUAAAGACAGCAUAAUGUUAUUGUUAGUGUUGCUCUGUCUGCUCUGUACUGUGUACACCAUGUUUAGGGUCAGAACAGGGCCUUCUGGGGGGGUUGUUUGGACACCUGCCCUGGGAGCAGAUAAUGCUGAGUGGCACGGGAAGUGGGAGGACAUCAGCCAGUAUUUGGAAAAGUUUUCUCCUCCAAUGAUCUGGAAAUUCACCCCUGAACAACUGCAGGAUCCUGUUAGCAUGAUAAGACUGGUGAAGGAAAAAUGCUCUGGCAGCUCCAGAGAUGGCCAGCUCACAGCAACCUGCUGGGCCCUGGCCACUGCCUACCGGGCACUGCUUGACAUGGUACAGCACUGUCAGGGCGAGGAGAGAAGGAGCAAAUCCGCAGACACCACGUCCACCCAAACCACAGCUGAGUCAGAGGGAGAAAGAAAUAAACCAACCGGCACCGUGUCCACACAAACCAUCGAGGAGCCAGAAGAACAAGCAAAACCAAUAGCAGUCGCCCCUGUCCAGAAAAGGAAAUCAAAGACUAAAUCAGUCCGUAUAGCAAAUGAUGACGAAGAGGCGGGACCUUCACAUCCACCGGAGGAGACAGAGCCAGAAAUAAUCACUCGGUCCCUAUCCCUGGGUGAGCUACGUGAGCUCCGGAGAGAGUUCACACGACAGGCGAACGAGUCCAUUCUGACCUGGCUGCUCCGAAUCUGGGAUGCCGCAGCUAACGAUACGAUCCUAGAUGGGAGUGAAGCCAGACAGCUGGGAUCCCUGUCUCGAGAUGUAGUCAUUGAUCAGGGGAUUGGAAGGAGGCAGGAAACUCUCAGCCUCUGGCGGCGACUGUUGUCCAGUGUGAGGGAGAGAUACCUUUGCAAGGAGGACCUCCACGUACAGCAAGGACAGUGGAACACGAUGGAACAAGGUAUCCGGUGCUUAAGGGAGUUAGCUGUACUGGAGAUAAUCUUUUCAGAGGAUGAAAGAUUCCCUAAGAGUCCAGAUGGCGUACAGUGCACCUCCCAAAUGUGGUUAAAGUUUGCACGACUCGGGCCAGAAAUGUAUUCCCGCUACUUAGCAACGCUGCAAUGGAGGGAGGGAGAGGACAAGGUGGGAGCAUUGGUUAGUAAACUCAGGAUUUAUGAAGACACUGUCACCGCCCCAUUACGAGCC
Molecule: long non-coding RNA, 1323 nt
Filed under: Manacus vitellinus (golden-collared manakin)
Lineage: Eukaryota; Metazoa; Chordata; Aves; Passeriformes; Pipridae
Description: lncRNA (ENSMVIG00005018669.1)
Source: RNAcentral